This 254-nucleotide ribosomal RNA is filed under the name uncultured bacterium. RNAcentral describes it as "partial 16S ribosomal RNA". It matches the Rfam family "Bacterial small subunit ribosomal RNA", at positions 524 to 776 of the family's 1533-position model. The record is from RNAcentral.
CACGUAGGGUGCGAGCGUUGUCCGGAAUUAUUGGGCGUAAAGAGCUCGUAGGCGGUGUGUCGCGUCGGCCGUGAAAACUUGCAGCUUAACUGUGGGCGUGCGGUCGAUACGGGCAUCACUGGAGUUCGGCAGGGGAGACUGGAAUUUACGGUGUAGCGGUGAAAUGCGUAGAUAUCGUAAGGAAGACCAGUGGCGAAGGCGGGUCUCUGGACAGUUCCUGACGCUGAGGCACGAAGGCCAGGGGAGCAAACGGG